RNAcentral lists this ribosomal RNA (301 nucleotides) under uncultured bacterium. Its description in RNAcentral is "partial 16S ribosomal RNA". It matches the Rfam family "Bacterial small subunit ribosomal RNA", at positions 509 to 808 of the family's 1533-position model. The record is from RNAcentral.
CAGUCGCCGCGGGAAUACGUAGGGUGCAAGCGUUAAUCGGAAUUACUGGGCGUAAAGCGUGCGCAGGCGGUGUUGUAAGACUGAUGUGAAAUCCCCGGGCUCAACCUGGGAACUGCAUUGGUGACUGCAACGCUGGAGUGCGGCAGAGGGGGAUGGAAUUCCGCGUGUAGCAGUGAAAUGCGUAGAUAUGCGGAGGAACACCGAUGGCGAAGGCAAUCCCCUGGGCCUGCACUGACGCUCAUGCACGAAAGCGUGGGGAGCAAACAGGAUUAGAUACCCGGGUGUCCCUGUCUCUUAUACA